GAAGCUCUUCCAGAAACGCCCUCACAGACACCCCGGAAGUCACGUACCCACUCUGUAGGUGCCCCGGGGCACAGGCAAGCGGACGAGCCAGUUAUCCCUCAGAGCUCCUGCUGCCUCGCCCGCUUUCUCUCGGAAACGUGAAGUGUGGCCUCAGCUGAAAGUGAGGUGGGCCUCAUUCAAUCAGUUGAAUUCUUCAAGAGAGAAAAACUGAAGUCCCUUAGAAGGAAAGAGUUCUGCCUUCAGACUGUCUUUGAACUUAAGACUGUAGCGUCGACUCCUGCCGGAAUUUCCAGCCUGCUGGCCAGCUCUGCAGAUUCACACUUGCCAGCCUCCACAAUCGCAGCUGAGGCGGAGGAACCCUAAGGGCUCAUUGAGAUCAUGGAUUUGCCCUUCUAUGCAUUGAUGGAGCACCUGCUGCCCACAGCGUCUGUAUUUGGUGCUGGGAUGCUGAGGACACUGAGAUCUUCAAACAGAGGCUGCCACUCUAAGCAAACAGAUCCCGAGCCCUGGACUCUGAAGCUUGGGCCCAGUUCUCCUUUUCUCCGGGUUUCAGAUCCCACUGUGAAGUGAGGGGGCCCUUCUGAUUCAGGACCCGGGGAAGCCAGGGGCAUGAGCAUCGGUGCCUCUUCUCUAUUUCAAGGACCCUUCUGGGUGUAAAGUUCUCUGAGAUGCCUUACAUGGAUUCCCACCACUGCAAGAUAACCAUCGUAUGUAAAGUGUUAUGACCAGCAGAGCGUAAUUGAAGUGCAUUCCAGAGGGAAAGACAGCGGCUCAGGUAGGCCUUAGAGAAUCCGCCUUGGGACGAAUCCCAUUCUCACACUCCUGUAACAUCCUUAUCAGAAGGCUGGAAGACCAAGCUGGGGCUGUGGGACUAGGAGUAAUUAAAAUACCUUUAAUUGGAA
Molecule: long non-coding RNA, 902 nt
Filed under: Homo sapiens (human)
Lineage: Eukaryota; Metazoa; Chordata; Mammalia; Primates; Hominidae
Description: HSALNT0406559
Source: RNAcentral